AGGACGAACGCUGGCGGCGUGCUUAACACAUGCAAGUCGAGCGGAAAGGCCCUUCGGGGUACUCGAGCGGCGAACGGGUGAGUAACACGUGAGCAACCUGCCCUUAGCUUCGGGAUAGCUCCGGGAAACCGGAAUUAAUACCGAAUAUGACUGCGGCUGACAUCAGCCACGGUGGAAAGUUUUCGGCUAGGGAUGGACUCGCGGCCUAUCAGCUAGUUGGUGAGGUAACGGCCCACGAAGGCGACGACGGGUA
RNAcentral lists this ribosomal RNA (253 nucleotides) under uncultured bacterium. RNAcentral describes it as "partial small subunit ribosomal RNA". It matches the Rfam family "Bacterial small subunit ribosomal RNA", at positions 26 to 285 of the family's 1533-position model. The record is from RNAcentral.